This 3670-nucleotide long non-coding RNA is filed under the name Marmota monax (woodchuck). The record is from RNAcentral. Lineage: Eukaryota; Metazoa; Chordata; Mammalia; Rodentia; Sciuridae.
UUAUUUCCCCUCCCGAAUACUGUAACUCCCGAAUCUUGGAGACUUCGAGCGGUUCAGUCCCGGCGUUCACCCAGGGAUAGGUGACUUGGGUGAGCACAGAAUGGCCAUGAGGUGGUCAACCUCUGUUGCGCCCUGGUUGUCCCGGCAGGGCCUUAGAAAGCCAAGUCUUUGGUGGGAGACGCGGGGACCAGGAGGGCCCGCCCCUCCGGGAGGAGCAAAGCUUCGGCUGACAAGCUGGCCAAUGGGAGGCGAGAACUACUGCACAACGUGGAGCGGCUGCAGAAUGUAAACACAGCCCCCGCGCUGCGGGCCACGUGCGCUCUAGCGCGCCGCAGCUCCUGGCUGGCGCUGCCAUCCCAAGCGGCCACACUCAGGGGAGACUUCCCCAGCUAGCCGGCUAAGGUACGUAUCAACCCUAACUUCCCGGUUCCUGCUACGCCGACCCGGUUACCCUCUCCGAGGGUGGGAUUCUCUCCCAGCAGCCGCCCAGCUCCUACCCUGCAGCUCGAAUCCCGCAGUCCCCGCGCGGGAAACGCUGGCGCCACGCUGAUUCUUUCUUUUCUCUUCCUAGCCUUCAAUUCCAGGGCCCCGAGGGCAGAACCCCUCUCUGGAGAGAUUAAGAAGCUUUCCUCAUCCCCACGAGUGUUGUGGCCCUCCAAGAACCCAGCCGGGGGGUGAACAGCUAAAACCACGUGCAGGCCCCUGGCCCGCCCGCCGCGUCCCGCCCUGCUGCCAGCGCGCCCUGCGGAGCCCGCGCGAGCCGCCUAGGCGGGAGGGAGCCGCCCUGCGCGCUAAUGGGAGGCGGCGAAUCCCGCUCUUUUCCUUUCCUUUAUUCCUAUAUUUAAGUUUAUGGGUCUCCUAGCUACUUCUCUUAGCGCUCCCAUCCCUGCGCCCCCUUGCACUUCUCCGAUUCGGACACGCAAGUUUUGCGGCGGGAGACAGUUCCCGGAACAAAGACCUCUGGGUCAGAGGAGCCGUUUGAAGGCUUCCUGGAACCGUGGCAGCUCAAGUUGCAAGUCAACUGGGCGCUUUUCUGUCCUGGCCUGGAUGAGUCGUGGGAGAGAGCAGAGAGAAGACCCCACACACGAUCCCCGCAAAGGCCUCUCCAGAGACUGACCCAGAGGCGGCCCGCCAGAGGGACCCUGGCUCCCAGUCCAGGCUUUUUUUGCUGCUCCGCUCGUUAGGGCCCCAGAUCUUAGAAACCAGCGCUUUUGGGGCAGGCAAAAUCCUUUCUCACAGUUUCCCUUUCGAUUCUUAGGACAGUCUCAUGAUGCUAGCCAAAGAAUGAUUUCCCUUCCAAUUUUACACGGAAUAGCCCUGCCCAGUUUGACAUAGAAACAAGAAGUCCAUGCCUUGUCUGUUUCAAGAAACUUUAUAUCAUUCAUAAUGCUUAUGAUGGCUCCCUUUUGCGGUCGCUCAAACCCUUUCCUAUGUAAAGCUUAGCAGUCUAACUCAUGAUGUCAGAAAGGGAGGGUGUCUUCCAACAAGUAUGUUUUAGUCCAGUAUGAGCAAAACUGGUGACCUGUAUGAGUGAAGUUGAUCAUUAAAAUAUGCUGAAAACCAGGGAUGUCAUUAACAUUUGUGGGAUUAAUCUUUGAGUACUGUGUGCCCAGCACUGGCAUACACUAAAUUAAUUGUAAGCAAGGCAUUGUUAUUAGACAUGUACUUGGUCUUAUCCUUGACUAUUAUAUGAACCAAGUGCAAUUGUAGUAAGGAAGAAAUUAGAGUGGUCCCCAAACAGCUUUGUAAAUGAAGGAAUGGGGUGAAUGCUACCAUUUUAUAAAUACCUGGUUAGUGGACAAAUGGGUCUGUAAAAACCAUGGGCUUUCAGACCAACUAAAUUCCAGUCUUGUGCUGCUGCAAGUUACCAAUCCCUCUAACAUGGGUUUUCUCUAGAAAAGUUGUAAGUAGGCAUUCAUCUCAAAGGUUAUUUUAUUUGUUGCUUUUUUUUUUUUUUGGAACUAGGGGUUGAACCCAGAGCUUUUUGCAAAUGCAAGGCAGAUGCUUUGCCACUGAGCUACAUCCCAGCCCUCAAUGGUUAUUUUAAUGAUUAAAUUUAAUAAUGUACAUAGAGACCUCCCUAUGUGUACCUGUCACAAGGUAUGGAUGCUCAAUAAGUACUAGUUCUUCUUACUCUUAACUUCUCUUAUUCACCUCCCCUUACCAGUAGAAAUUAUAAUUCAGCAUUCUGAAUAAAAUAGAAAGCUGAGUUAUAAAAUUUAUGUUUCCCAGAAUUUUGUUCAUGUAGUUAUCCUUUGUUGGACACCUAUUGGGAGGGUCAUCGUUCAAUAUGUCAUCUUUUUUAUAAUUUUAUGUGCUCAUUUUUUGACUUCCUCUUUUUCCAGUCAUCCCAGUUUUAAAAUUCACCUACUUUGAAACAUAUGAAAUUCCUUUAUACUUUUUAAUAAUUUUAGAAAUUUUGGCUUUUUCUUUCUUGUACUGGCGAUUGAAUCCAACACCUUGUGCACGCUAGGCAAGUGACCUACCACUAACCUACAUUCCCAGCCCUUUUUAUUUUGAGACAGGGUCUCAGUGAGUUGUCAAGGUUGACCUCAAACUUGAUAUCCUCUUGCCUCAGCCUCCCAAGUAGCUGAGAUUAUGGGAAUGUACCCCUUUAUCUAGCCAGAAGUCUUGACAUUUUCUAAAGUAUAUUUUCCCUGUUGUGUAUGUCCUAAAAUGCCAUGGCAAAUAAACUCUUGACCUCUGUAGUGCUUCAUUUGCACAAUGCUUUUUAUUCCUGUUUAUUUUUGUGAGGGUGACGGUAAGAUUUUUUUUGGGGGGUGGUGGUGGUAAUAGUGUUGGUUCUGGGAUCAAACCCAGGAACUCUGAGCUACAUCUUUCAGCCUUUUUACUAGUUUUUGUUUAGAGAUAGGAUCUUGCUAAGUUGCUGCGGCUGGCCUGAAAUUUGUGAUUCCCUGCCUAAGAAUGGCUGGGAUUAUGGGCAUGUACCACUCUGUCUGGCCCAGAAAUAUUCUUUUUCUUCUCUCUUUUAUUUAUUUAUUAUUCUAAUUUGUUAUAUAUGACAGCAGAAUGCAUUACAAUUCAUAUGACAUAUAUAGAGCACAAUUUUUCAUAUCUGUUGGGUGUGUGGGAGACUCCCCCUUCCUGGAGAACAUCUUGGAAUCCCUUACUCCUCCCGUACCUCUUCAAAGGGCGCCAAGCCAAGAACACCAAAUUCAAAGGUUUCUUCCACCAAUCCCCGCAGGACACAAUGUCCGCUUGUUGAGUCACCCUACCAAUCAGCACCCACCAUGUGCCCUGUGCAACCCUUCUUUAGCCAAAGCUUGUAAGCACAUGUUCCUCUCUCUCUUUCUGCCCCCCUCCUCUUCUCUCUGCUCUCUACUUCUCCUUUGAGCAGCCACCCAAUAAAAUCUCUUGGUUGAAUCUCUGUCUUGAGUGAGUCACUCGCCUUUCAAUAUCUUUGGUUUUAUACAAAGUAGAGUCACACCAUUCGUGUCUUCAUACAUUUACUCAGGGUAAUGAUGUCCAUCUCAUUCCACCAUUUCUUUUUACCCCCAUGUCCCCUUCCUUUCCCUCCCACACCUUUGCCCUACUCCCCCUCCCAAACCCUCUUUAUAUCAGAGAAAACAUUCAACUUUUGGGUUUUGGGAUUGACUAACUUCACUUAGCAUUAUAUUCUCCAAAUCCAUCCAUUUACCUGCAAAUGCCA